This 1059-nucleotide long non-coding RNA is filed under the name Cricetulus griseus (Chinese hamster). RNAcentral describes it as "lncRNA (ENSCGRG00015036693.1)". The record is from RNAcentral. Lineage: Eukaryota; Metazoa; Chordata; Mammalia; Rodentia; Cricetidae.
CAUGCAGCAACAGAGUGGAAGCAGGGAGCAGCCCUCCCCAGACACCAAUGCUGAUGCCUUCUUUGUCUUGGAUUCUCCAGGCUUCCAGGCUCCGCUCCCUGCCUUUUCUCCAUGAUUCCUGACUUCUGGCCCUGGCAAUCUCAGAAGAGCUUCAUUGAAUUCCCUUCCACUCAGAUCCUGGGGACUCGCCUCCCCUAGCAACACCCCUGUGCAGCCUGGACACACUGACUGAACCAAUUGUUAGGAUACUUGUGAGUAGAAUACUUGGUUCUUUCAUAAAAAUAUUUCAGAUCACCGCUUAGUUCCUGUGACUCUGUAACUUUGUUUUCCUCUGCUCUCUCCCUUUCUGGAGCUUGCUGUUGGCUCUGGAGUUAACACCUCAUGCCCCUAAUUUGUUUAAUCACACUGACUAUUGACUGAGGUAGUAGGCAGCAGGAUCUGAGAAACAUGAGGUGCAUGCCUUUGUUCUCCCAUGUGGUUCCAUUCAGGUUACUUGUCUCUCACUUAGACUGGAAACUAAAUGGAUUAGAAUAAAACCAAUUUGAGAGGGAAAGGAAAUGUUCACAGGAACAGAAAUAGAAAGUCCUGCUAUCUUGGCUGCCUAAGAUCUGUAGACCUCACCAAGGAAUUUAAAAAGUAAUGUUUCUUAUCAUAAGUGACAGAAAUAUGCCGCUUUCUGCAUCAGUAGAUAUGAAGAUUAAAGGGUCUGACCGUAUUAAACAAUUUUGCACAGCACCAGGCACUCUGGGCAGUGCUCUUGGCCUUAUUACCCUGCUUCAUGUGGUUAUUUCAGGCCCAAUUUAAGAAUACAAUGCAGCCUGGCUUUGCAAAUUGACAUCCUUUAAUUUAAACUGUCUUGUGGGAGAAUUAAGAAAUUAUGGAACAAUUAUUCCCCCUCAGUUGAAAGCUGGAUGACAUCCUGAGAUUCUUGUACAUUAGCCAUUUGAAUUGAUUAAGUCACGUAAUUGAAUUACACCUUUGCCCCCAUAAUAUCUCGUGGCAGAUAUGUUGGUGUUUCCUGUUGGGGAAAUGCUCUCAUAAAAAUAGAACAGGGGCUGG